CAGAGUUAAUGAAUGACAUUUAUGUGAUAGGUUAGAAGGAUAGCACGCCUUUAAACACUAUGCUCAGGACAGCGCCAAUAAAUAAUGAUAACUCAUAAGGUGAUGUCAUAUUAAAAAUAGUUAAAAAUAGGAAAGUUCUUAAAAUGUUAAAAAGGUUUGUAAUAAAUAUACAUUUACAUAAAAGCCUUCAGAACAA
Thalassophryne amazonica is the source of this 196-nucleotide long non-coding RNA. RefSeq lists it as uncharacterized. NCBI's taxonomy places the organism in Eukaryota, Metazoa, Chordata, Actinopteri, Batrachoidiformes, Batrachoididae. The record is from RefSeq and is a predicted model, not a curated record. The transcript has 3 exons.